This 465-nucleotide ribosomal RNA is filed under the name Vreelandella stevensii. RNAcentral describes it as "partial 16S ribosomal RNA". It matches the Rfam family "Bacterial small subunit ribosomal RNA", at positions 338 to 795 of the family's 1533-position model. The record is from RNAcentral. Lineage: Bacteria; Pseudomonadati; Pseudomonadota; Gammaproteobacteria; Oceanospirillales; Halomonadaceae.
CCUACGGGGGGCUGCAGUGGGGAAUAUUGGACAAUGGGGGGAACCCUGAUCCGGCCAUGCCGCGUGUGUGAAGAAGGCCCUCGGGUUGUAAAGCACUUUCAGUGAGGAAGAACGCCUGGUGGUUAAUACCCAUCAGGAAAGACAUCACUCACAGAAGAAGCACCGGCUAACUCCGUGCCAGCAGCCGCGGUAAUACGGAGGGUGCGAGCGUUAAUCGGAAUUACUGGGCGUAAAGCGCGCGUAGGUGGCUUGAUAAGCCGGUUGUGAAAGCCCCGGGCUCAACCUGGGAACGGCAUCCGGAACUGUCAAGCUAGAGUGCAGGAGAGGAAGGUAGAAUUCCCGGUGUAGCGGUGAAAUGCGUAGAGAUCGGGAGGAAUACCAGUGGCGAAGGCGGCCUUCUGGACUGACACUGACACUGAGGUGCGAAAGCGUGGGUAGCAAACAGGAUUAGAUACCCCGGUAGUC